UUAGAAGAGUUACAGGGCUCAUGCCGAGCAAUGAAACCCUUAAACCCAAUGUGAACCUACCAAGCGUUGCUUCGGCGGGCGGCCCCGGGGGGGCCCUCUGGCCCAUCAUGGUGCCCGCCGACAGUAUCGAGAAAAAACUCAUUUUAGAAUUUCUAGCGGAAUGUCUUCUGAGUGCAAAAUUUUUUUUUGCAGAAACGAGUCA
This 202-nucleotide unclassified non-coding RNA is filed under the name uncultured fungus. Its description in RNAcentral is "sequence contains ITS1". The record is from RNAcentral. Lineage: Eukaryota; Fungi.